GGUUGAAGCGGCUGUAAGAGGUCGUGGAGGACCGAACCCACCAGGGUUGAAAACCUGGGGGAUGACCUGUGGUUAGGGGUGAAAGGCCAAUCAAACUCCGUGAUAGCUGGUUCUCCCCGAAAUGCAUUUAGGUGCAGCGUCGUGUGUUUCUUGCCGGAGGUAGAGCACUGGAUAGGCGAUGGGCCCUACCGGGUUACUGACCUUAGCCAAACUCCGAAUGCCGGUAAGUGAGAGCGCGGCAGUGAGACUGUGGGGGAUAAGCUCCAUGGUCGAGAGGGAAACAGCCCAGAGCAUCGACUAAGGCCCCUAAGCGUACGCUAAGUGGGAAAGGAUGUGGAGUCGCAGAGACAACCAGGAGGUUGGCUUAGAAGCAGCCACCCUUGAAAGAGUGCGUAAUAGCUCACUGGUCAAGUGAUUCCGCGCCGACAAUGUAGCGGGGCUCAAGCGUACCGCCGAAGUCGUGUCAAUCCAGCAGAUAGCCCCAACGGGUGCUGGGUUGGGUAGGGGAGCGUCGUGUGCCGGGUGAAGCCGCGCCGGAAGGCAGUGGUGGACGGUUCACGAGUGAGAAUGCAGGCAUGAGUAGCGAUACACACGUGGGAAACGUGUGCGCCGAUUGACUAAGGGUUCCUGGGUCAAGCUGAUCUGCCCAGGGUAAGUCGGGACCUAAGGCGAGGCCGACAGGCGUAGUCGAUGGACAACCGGUUGAUAUUCCGGUACCCGCUUUGAAACGCCCAAUAUCGAAUCCUCUGAUGCUAAGUCCGUGAAGCCGCCCUUGAUCUCUUCGGAGUGAGGGGGAGUGGUGGAGCCGACGACCCGAGGUGGUAGUAGGUAAGCGAUGGGGUGACGCAGGAAGGUAGUCCAGCCCGGGCGGUGGUUGUCCCGGGGUAAGGGUGUAGGCCGUGUGACAGGCAAAUCCGUCACACAUUAAGGCUGAGACCUGAUGCCGAGCCGAUUGUGGUGAAGUGGAUGAUCCUAUGCUGUCGAGAAAAGCCUCUAGCGAGUUUCAUGGCGGCCCGUACCCUAAACCGACUCAGGUGGUCAGGUAGAGAAUACCGAGGCGUUCGGGUGAACUAUGGUUAAGGAACUCGGCAAAAUGCCCCCGUAACUUCGGGAGAAGGGGGGCCAUGUCUGGUGAUCCAACAUGCUUGGUGAGCUGGGUGUGGCCGCAGAGACCAGCGAGAAGCGACUGUUUACUAAAAACACAGGUCCGUGCGAAGCCGUAAGGCGAUGUAUACGGACUGACGCCUGCCCGGUGCUGGAACGUUAAGGGGACCGGUUAGCCAGGAUUCGUUCUGGCGAAGCUGAGAACUUAAGCGCCAGUAAACGGCGGUGGUAACUAUAACCAUCCUAAGGUAGCGAAAUUUCUUGUCGGGUAAGUUCCGCAGGACACGAAUGGGGUAAUGAUUUCUGGCCUCUCUCAGGCAUAGAUCCGGUGAAAGUGCUCGGCGUCUAAAGAUGUGGGAUUCCCGGAGCUCCUCGGAAACAGCGUGUCCAAGGCCGCCGUGGUCCAGUUGACCCGUACCUUCGGCACGGAUCUGAGAGCGCGGAGCAUCCGGGUGAACAGCGUCGCACCCGGCUGGAUACGCACCCCGAUGAUGGCGCCGGGGCCAGCGCCGGGGCAUCCGGAGACGGC
Molecule: ribosomal RNA, 1633 nt
Rfam family: Bacterial large subunit ribosomal RNA (bases 1-1441)